AGAGUUUGAUCCUGGCUCAGGACGAACGCUGGCGGCGUGCUUAACACAUGCAAGUCGAACGAGGUCCAACCAGUCGCAAGACUGGGGAAGACCUAGUGGCGAACGGGUGAGUAACACGUGAGGAACGUGCCCCGGAGACCGGGAUAACAGCGGGAAACCGCUGCUAAUACCGGAUACCUUCCUUUGAUCGCAUGGUCGUUGGAAGAAAUGGAUUCCGCUCCGGGAGCGCCUCGCGGUCUAUCAGCUUGUUGGUGGGGUAACGGCCCACCAAGGCUACGACGGAUAGCUGGUCUGAGAGGACGAUCAGCCACACUGGGACUGAGACACGGCCCAGACUCCUACGGGAGGCAGCAGUGGGGAAUCUUGCCCAAUGGGCGAAAGCCUGAGGCAGCAACGCCGCGUGUGGGAUGAAGGCCCUUGGGUUGUAAACCACUUUCAGCAGGGACGAAGAUGACGGUACCUGCAGAAGAAGCCCCGGCCAACUACGUGCCAGCAGCCGCGGUAAGACGUAGGGGGCGAGCGUUGUCCGGAUUUAUUGGGCGUAAAGGGUUCCUAGGCGGCUGAGAAAGUCAGGUGUGAAACCUCCAGGCUCAACCUGGAGACGCCACCUGAUACUGCUCUAGCUAGAGUCCGGUAGGGGCGUACGGAAUUCCCGGUGUAGCGGUGAAAUGCUUAGAUAUCGGGAGGAACACCAGUGGCGAAGGCGGUACGCUGGGCCGGAACUGACGCUGAAGAACGAAAGCGUGGGUAGCAAACAGGAUUAGAUACCCCCGUAGUCC
Molecule: ribosomal RNA, 779 nt
Filed under: uncultured Acidimicrobiales bacterium
Lineage: Bacteria; Bacillati; Actinomycetota; Acidimicrobiia; Acidimicrobiales
Description: bacterial SSU rRNA
Rfam family: Bacterial small subunit ribosomal RNA
Source: RNAcentral